ACGCUCAGAUUCCUCCCGCGGCGGCUGCCAGCCCGGCUCCCCGGCUAGGCUCCUUCCUUUCCCUUCUUUUCUUCUCGCCCUCUCACAGCCACCUCUUUGCAUCCACUCCCUCCUGCAAUUUGCAAAGCUCCCCUGUCUCUCGCGCUUCAAGGUGCCAAGAGGUAAGUCGUGGGCAGCGGAUCUCGGGGCAACGAAUCUCGAGCCUGCGAAUCGCAGCCGCUGCCGCCGCCAGCCGGCCGCGAGAAGGAGCCCCCCGCGCGCCGUGUGCAGUUUCCGAAGCCUAGAGGCGGCCCCAGACUAGGGGCAAUCUCGCCAGGUCGCGUCCUCUUGCUCUCCCCACCCCUAGGACAAGGAACCCCCUCUUUGUAGGAAGAGAUUGAAGCCAAGACACCAGAGAGCCCCCGGCUGAUCUGACUGUCGCUAUUUUUCGUUGUAACUUCAGGAGAGGAGGAAGGAAAAUUCUUGAGCGUCUGUGCUGACUUCUCAGCACUCUUCACCCUCCCACCUCCACCCCCACCUCUGUCUGAGCGACUCCCAAGGGAAAAAGAUUUUGCAGGGUUUCGGUGUUUUUUGUUUUAAGUGACACAAAAAAAAUGAGGGGGGGGGUGGAGGGAGAUCUAGUCAAAAUAGUUUUUAGGAACUCAAGUGCAUAGCUGGACAUUUCUUUUUUCUUAUAUAUUCAAUCUUGUCAUUCCUAGAGAACAAGAAUGAGGUGUUUGUUUGUUUGUUUGUUUGUUUUUGUUUUAAGGACUGAAAAACUGUCAGCUUUGUGAUUAAAAUAAGUUGCAAAACCCUUGCUGGGGAAAAGCACCAGCCGUUUUCCAUGAAUUUAAAUAUUUUAUUAAGUCUAUUCUACAUCUAAGACUAAGUUUCGUGUCUGUCUUCCCCAGCGCUCACGGGGAAAAAUUAAAAAUACGAACUAAAAAAUUCAAAA
Molecule: non-coding RNA, 934 nt
Filed under: Pan troglodytes (chimpanzee)
Lineage: Eukaryota; Metazoa; Chordata; Mammalia; Primates; Hominidae
Source: RNAcentral